This 439-nucleotide ribosomal RNA is filed under the name uncultured bacterium. RNAcentral describes it as "partial 16S ribosomal RNA". It matches the Rfam family "Bacterial small subunit ribosomal RNA", at positions 338 to 795 of the family's 1533-position model. The record is from RNAcentral.
CCUACGGGAGGCAGCAGUAGGGAAUAUUGCUCAAUGGGGGAAACCCUGAAGCAGCAACGCCGCGUGGAGGAUGAAGGUUUUCGGAUUGUAAACUCCUUUUGUUAGAGAAGAUAAUGACGGUAUCUUACGCAUAAGCACCGGCUAACUCCGUGCCAGCAGCCGCGGUCAUCCGGAGGGUGCAAGCUUUACUCGGAAUCACUGGGCGUAGAGGGUGCGUAGGCGGAAUGCCAGGUCAGCGGUAAAAUCGCGGGGCUCAAGCUCGCUCCGCCGUUGAAACUGGCGUUCUUGAGUGGGCGAGAAGUAUGCGGAAUGCGUGGUGUAGCGGUGAAAUGCAUAGAUAUCACGCAGAACUCCGAUUGCGAAGGCAGCACACCGGCGCCCAACUGACGCUGAAGCACGAAAGCGUGGGUAUCGAACAGGAUUAGAUACCCUUGUAGUC